RNAcentral lists this non-coding RNA (196 nucleotides) under uncultured Ruminococcus sp. The record is from RNAcentral. Lineage: Bacteria; Bacillati; Bacillota; Clostridia; Eubacteriales; Oscillospiraceae.
AGAACUGAUAAUCCGAGGAGUGGAAUGAGAGGGUAACGCCUUGAAACGCUCCCCCUGAUACUCCGACUGGCGAUUUUGAGAAAUUGGAAUGGUCAGAAGCUCGGUGAAGUCGGCUGAGAGAUACCGUAAUCCGUGCAAGCGGAACGAAAGCUGUUCAGAGGUGAACGGUGUAUCCUAUAGGUCGGGGGUCUAUAAA